Molecule: unclassified non-coding RNA, 200 nt
Filed under: Hypocreales sp.
Lineage: Eukaryota; Fungi; Ascomycota; Sordariomycetes; Hypocreales
Description: partial internal transcribed spacer 2
Source: RNAcentral
UUAAGUUCAGCGGGUAUUCCUACCUGAUCCGAGGUCAACCUUUUAAAAAUAAGAGUUUUACGGCAGGCCGCCGCCUGGACCCGGUGCGAGGUGAGUUACUACGCAAGGGGAGCCACGGCGGGACCGCCAAUGUAUUUGGGCGGCUACGGCACUAAAAGCGCUGUAGCCCGCCAACGCCAAGCGGUGCUUGAGGGUUGAAA